AUGUCUUGUGAGAAGUGCCAUAAAACAGCACAGCGACAUGGCCCUGUCUACAGGUGCAUUGACCCCACAUGUGCCUCCACCGACGCAAUGCCAAGAUAUCGCAUAUGCUUUAGAUGCACUAGCGAUUCAAGGGAGGCCGAGUUUAUUUUCUUCGACAGGGUUGGAAAAGAGAUUGUUGCCAAAUCUUUGAUCACUUUGCUGCAUGAAGGGUAUUCCAGUCGUACAACUCUUGAUGAGAUUGUUGAAAUAGCACGUGGAGACCCAGCCAUCCCUAAAUACAUAUCCACUUUGAUUGGCAAGAAGUAUAUAUUUGUGGUGUCUAUCUCUUCAAAGAGCUUUAUGCCUGAUGCCGAGGAGACAUCCUUCCAAGUUAUCAAGAUAGAUGUGCCUGUGGAAAAGACCUCGAGCUCUGCAGUUUUAUAUCGCAAGGCAGAUUCCUCUGGACCUUCUACUGGUGAUGUGGGGUGUCCUGGUUCUGGUGAUGUAUCACCCUUAGUGUUACCCGUUGGAAGCUUCUCUACCGAUACUGGUGCUUUUUCUCUUCCUGCAUUACCUGCUGGAUCUGUCUCGGUCCUGCCCAUCUCCGGUGAUCAGUCUGCAAAGGUUGUUGUUGCUCUUGGCUCUCAAUCGACCCUUGCUUCUCCGCCGUCUGUCAGUAAAAGUGGCUUGAAGAAAGGCCUUUCUAAAACCAAACUAACGAAUGCUGAUGUUCGCAAGCCUUUGUUCCCAGUUGACAAAUCUAAGGAAAAUGCAACGCUGGGCGAUGGUCCUGCUGUCCUAGGUGAAGAGGUGGACGGUACUACAAGCGAGGUGCCAUUGGCUGUUGAGGGCACCACCAUUCAAAAAACUAAAAAGGCAAGGAGGGCCUGA
RNAcentral lists this ribosomal RNA (870 nucleotides) under Triticum aestivum (bread wheat). RNAcentral's name for it is "partial small subunit ribosomal RNA". The record is from RNAcentral. Lineage: Eukaryota; Viridiplantae; Streptophyta; Magnoliopsida; Poales; Poaceae.